GGCAAAGAGUAACAUUCACACUAACCCUCUUGUGGGAGAACCAUCUAGCACAAGCCUUAACCCAAUUCAAAGACAGAAGUGUAGUCAAACCCCAAAACUCAAUCGAAUAAUAUCCCAAAACUAAUAACUAACAAUGCAGAAUUAAUCAAACAACUCGUUACAAUCCCAAAGAUCUGAAAGUCAUCUUACAAGAACUCUAAACAAUCAUGUAUAAAUAAAUAUCCAAACUAACAAAAUAAUAAAGAAUUGUCUCAUUUUUCAGAAGAAGGACAAGAACUAAUAAUAUGAUCCAUGACAUCCUAAAUAUGGAUCGCUCACUCUUGGAUGAAAUCGCCAGUCAAAUACUAGAGAUAAUGUUACGUCGGAUUCUAUGGAAUACAACCUACACUUAACAAAAGAAUGACACAUGAUAACAUUGAUACAAAACACUAUAUAUUGAAAGGUAUCAUAGGCUGACUCAACUAUAAGCAUCUAAUACAUAUAAAUCAAACAACAAAUAUUAAAUAGACAAUACAUUGAACACAUAACAUGUAUUCUAAAUCAGUAAACAAAUAUAUUCAUAAAAAGUCAAACAAAUAUAUCCACAACAAGCCAAUCAAGUAUGUUCAACACCAAUCAAUAAUAUCAACCAUAUCAUAAAACUCACCAAUUAAACAAAACAACAGAAUGGAUGUCUAUGUCCACUUUACCCUUACAAAAGUAUUCUCAUUAGUCUAAUUAUAAUCACAAUGUAGUUUCUAACUCACGUAUCAACACUAAUCUUGUCACGAUUCAAAAACUAAGGUUAUGAUGUCAUUUAUUGCAGUUAAGCCUUGACAAUUAAACCAAUUACCCGAACUUAUAAGUAAGAAGAAAUCAUAACACAAUUUCCUAGGCGAGACUUCUAGAGCAAAGUCAAACCAUAUAUGUACAAUAAUAGCGAAAGUCUGAAUAAUAUAGAUACCAUAACCUAUCUCAAAAUCUGGUGUUAUAGUGUAAGAACAAUCUUAAUACAACUCAAAAAUUAGAAAAUACAACAAAAAAUUGAAAACUACAAAUUUAUCUCUAAAAGUAAAUAAAGACAUCAACUUGAUCGAAGAAGUUAUGAGGUCGACUCUGAAAGCAUAAAGCGGCCACUACCUCAAAAGUUUCAAAAACCAAUGCACAAUCUCACCUGCCGCGUGAAGUACUCAUACCUAGAUUGGUAUUGAAAGGGAAAAUUAAAGGAGAGUAUGGUCCAUUAGUAUUCAGUAGGUAUCAUAGGCCGAUUGAUCAAAGUGAAAAAUAAGAUAUAUCAAUACACACUAUGAGCACGCCACCUGCAAGAAGAUUAAGUCUCAAAUGGUAGCUCACACCGUCUCCACUAACAAUUCUAAAUAUAGCACAUAAACAAAAAAAAAGGUAUGUAAAAGAAAGAAAAAAGCUAUGCUUUAGAUGAAUCGCAGAAGCACAAUAUUGAAGGUGCAUAAAUGGAUGAACUGCAAUGAUGAAGAUAAUGAUGAUGAUGUGAUAUGAUUGAGGUUAUCACAUAACCUCAUUUUACAACUAUCAAGCUUUAACACUUCCAGGUACAACCUAUGGAGGUUUGCAAUUCAUAUACUUUCUCAAUACUGAAUCCGUAUCUCGAUAUACAAAUCUUUUCUCCAACUCUUAGGCUACGAUAAAGGGUUUUCUAAAAGCAUGUCAUUUCUAUAAAAAUCAGUAUUUCAUCUGGCACCAAUGUUUCAUGAAUGUAUGCGUGAUAUGAAGAUGUAACUUCUCAUUAUCGAACCAAUAUAAAGAUCUCGAAUCCAUUCAACAUAUGAACAUGUGAGCUCAUAAUCUACUCAAUUACUCAACUAUCUAUGAUUUAGUAUAAGAACUGUACCAUCGGAAUAAAUAUGCAUGUAAGUCACCAAUAAUAUCACAUUAAUCCCUAAAUUAGUAUUUUUAUCAUGAAAGAGAACAACCCAUGCAUAACGAUACCAAUAAUAUCAGAUAAGGCCUAAUGUGGAUAACACGUAGCAAGUAUGAUCUUAAAUCACCAACAACAACAAUAUAAAUCCCCACAAGGGCACACAAAAGUAAUAACAUUGCUUAUAGGAUUGAUUUUCCAUAACCAUAUCAUUCUUAUAUAUGCAUAUUAACUACCCAGCCCAUUCUGAAGAAUGUUAAGCCAUAACCUACCUCGCGACGUAGAUACACAAGCCUUAAGUCACUCAACGAGGAACUUUUCCUUCUUGGAUGGCCUAAAAAUAAACUAAUACAUUCAAAUAUAGAAUCUACGCGUUAAAAUAAAGCCAGCAAUAGACAUAUUUCUUAUUUCUAGGUCGGGGUCAAAACGGACCCUCGACCUGGGUUUUUGAAAAGUAAGGGUAAAACUAAAUUUUUUAUUUAUAAAAACCUUACAAAUGAUUAAAGAAUUCCAUAGGAUAAAACUCAAGUAACAACGGGUUAAAACGAGGCUUAAAUAAAAGAAAUACCAUUUAGGCUUUCAGGGCGAAAAAUCUCUAAAUUCAGAAAUAGAAUCAAGAUUUAAAGGGGUUUUAAACUAUAUAUUCCAAGUAAGAUAAUUGAAAUAGUGAUUUAGAGCUACCCAAGCUAGAAAAUAGAAGAAAUUGCUCAAAAAUCCCUUAACCCAAAGCUCAAAGUCAAAAAAAUUAAAAAAGGGGAAGGAGGAUUUAUAUAUCCUCCCAGCUAUGGCCGCUAGCAUGGAUGAACCACUUUAGCGGUCUAAAAAAAUUGUGUUGGACCACUAAAGUUCUCCCCUACUGCUAAAGCAAUGAUCACUAAAGUUGUCAAGUGUCCACUUUAGAGAUACUUGCCUAGACUGGCAGGGUUUGCUAAAGCGCUGCAUUGGCCCCUUAAGCGGAUACCGCUUUAGUGGCCCCUUAAGCAGAUACCGCUUUAGCUAUAUAAACAACUUUUCUACGUUGUAAAAUUAUUGAUCAAACCCUCUAAAGGUCGUGAAAUAGGAUCACCAACUUACGAAGGUUAAAUUACUCCUAAGUAUAAAUACUUGGCUGAAAUUUUUUCUAAGUAUGGGACCUCUUUUCAAGCUUUAAUGGACUGAGAUAAUCUUAGAAUUUUGUGAGGUCAUACAAUAUCUCUCCCUUGGGAACAUUCGUCCUCGAAUAAAACUGAGAUGAGAAUACUGAUAGACUGAAUUUAUAUAUGCUGAACACGCAGAACUGAAGAAUGAUUACAUGACUGAAAGUACUAAUAUACUGAGUUAUCAUACUAACAUGCAUAACUAAAGCAUGACAGAGUUCUAAAAAUAUGACACAUGACUGAGAUGUUUCAUGAAGGUAUGCAUGAUAUGAGAAUGCUAUGCAGCUGAACCGAUACAAAGUUGCUAAGGUAAUCUGAGCAUGGAACUGAGUAAAUUCAAGUAAAAAUGGUACCUUGAACUGAGUCUAGGUUUGCAGAGAAGAGGUGAGGGUAAUUGGUCCGUAUAUCUGCUUCAGCUUUCCAAGUAGCUCCCUCAACAGACUGAUUUUGCCAAAGAACUUUGACUAGCGGAACUUCUUUGUUCCUCAGUCUAUGAAUCUGAUAAUCAAGGAUUCAGACUGGAAACUCUUAGUAAGAGAGACAGUUCUAAACAUCUAUACCCUCUAUAGGGACUACAACUGCUGGGUCACCUAUGCAUUUCUUUAGCAAGGAGACAUGAAACACUAGAUGAACUAAAGCUAAAACUUAAGGAAAUUCAAGCUUGUAAGCUACCUUUUCGAAAUGGCUAAGAAUUUGAUAUGGACCGACAUACUAGGGACUGAGCUUCCCUUUUUUUUGUAAACCUCUUCACUCCUUUCAUAAGAGAUGUUUUCAAAUACACAUAGUCGCCAAUCUCAAACUCGAGAUCCUUUCUUCGCAUAUCUACAUAUGAUUUCUGUCGGCUUUGAGCCGUCUUAUGCAUUUCCUUGAUCAACUAAAAUUUUUCUAAGGUAUCAAAUACCAUGUCAGGACCUACCACUGUGGCGUCACCCACUUUAAACAAACCAAUGGGAGAUCUGCAUCUCCUCCCAUAGAACGCCUCAAACAGAGCCAUCUUAAUGCUGAAUGGUAACUAUUGUUAUAUGCGAACUCAAUAAAGGGAAAGUUGUCAUCCCAAAUACCCUUAAAGUCAAUGGCACACACUCUUAACAUAUCAUUCAACGUGUAAAUGGUCCUCUCUACUUGACCAUUUUUCUGAGGGUGAAAGGCUGUACUGAGGUAAACUUUGGUACCUAGACCUUAUUAGAAGGCUUUCCUGAAAUGAGAGGUAAAUUGCGUACCUCUAUCUGAGAUGAUGGAUAACAGAACUCCGUUCAAUGUGACUAACUCUCUAACAUAGAUCUUGGCAUAUUCCUCGACUGAAUAAGAGGUAUGCACUAGUAGGAAAUAAGCUGAUUUGGUUAUCCUGUCAACAAUAACACAAAUUGAAUCAUGCUGAUGACGAGUACGGAACAAACCCAUCACAAAGACCAUGUUCACUUUCUCCUACUUCCAUUUGUGGAUAUUGAACUCGUGCAUGGAACCACUACAUUUUUGUUUCUCAAUCCUAACCUGCUAAUAUAUCGAGCACUUAGCUACAAACUCUGCAAUGUAUCUCUUUAUCCCAAUCCACCAAUAGAUCUCUUGCAAGUCACGGUACAUCUUAGUGGUCCCUGGAUGAAUAGAGUAACGCACACCAUGCAUUUCUGGAAGAAUUCUUUGCCUCAAGCCAUCUACAUCUAGCAUGCAUAACCGACCCUGGCAAUGGAACACACCAUUUCCCCCUUGGGAGAAAGUCUCUACUUUCUAUUCUCUGACUGAGUCUUUCAACUUUACUAAACUGGGAUCCCUGUCCUGCUUUUCCUUUACUUCAGAAACUAGAGAUGAUUCUAAACUGUUCUGCACCCACACACUUCCCUCUGCUGAAUCGACUAAGCGGAUACCUAGUCGAGCAAGCUGAUUAACUUCUUUAACAAACUUCCUAUUAUUAUCCUCUACGUAAGCAACACUACCCAUAGACAUCCUAUUAAGAGCAUUAGCCACUACAUUGUCCUUUCUCGGAUGGUAUAGAACUCUCAUGCCGUAGUCUUUCAACAACUCUAACCACCUCCUCUGACGUAGAUUUAGAUCUUUUUGAAACAAUAUAUACUACAGGCUCUUGUUAUCACUGAACAAAUCCACAUGUACCCUGUACAAAUAAUGCCUCAAAAUCUUUAAGGCAAACACCACAACUACUAACUUAAGAUCAUGAGUGGGGUAAUUCUUUUCAUGGGGCUUAAGCUAUCAAGAGGCAUAGGCUAUGAUCUUACCUCUAUGCAUCAAAACACACCCCAAACCAACUCUGGAAGCAUUACAAUAUACCACAACCCCAUCUGAACGAUCUGGUAGAGUCAAAACUGGGGCUGUAGUGAGUCCAAUUUUUAACUACAGAAAAAUUUUCUCACAAGAAUUUGACCACUGCAAUUUGACUUUCUUCUGAGUUAAUAAGGACAUAGGAAAUGCAAUAGAUGAGAACCCCUCAACAAACCAUCGGUAAUAGCCAACCAAACCCAAGAAACUCCAGAUAUCUAACGAAGAGAUAAGUUUGGGCCAGUUUUUCACUUCUUUGGUCUUUUGAGGAUCAACUCUAAUACCAUCACCAGAAACUUUAUGACCAAGAAAAGAUACUAACCUUAUCCAAAAUUCACAUUUACUAAAUUUGGAAAAAAAUUAAUGGGCUCUGAGGGUCUAUAACACUAUUCUGAGAUGGUCUGCAUGAUCCUGUUUACUGCGGUUGUAGACAAGAAUGUCAUCAAUGAAGACUAUAAUGAACAUGUCUAAGUACUGCUUGAACUCCCGGUUUAUCAAGUCCAUAAAAGUUCUUGGGGCAUUGGUAAGACCAAAUAACAUGACUAGGAAUUCGAAGUAAUCAUACCGAGUUCUGAAAGCUGUCUUCGGAAUGUCAUAUUCUCUGACUCUGAGCUGAUGAUAGCCUGAUUUAAGGUCUAUCUUAGAAAAGUAGUUGGCACCCUGAAGUUGGUCGAACAAUUCAUCGAUUCUGGGAAUUGGAUACUUGUUCUUAACUGUGACUUUAUUAGCUGAUGAUAGUCUAUACACAUUCUGAGAGAACCAUCUUUCUUACUCACGAAUAAAAUUGGUGCACCCCAUGAGGAAACACUGGGUCUAAUGAAUCCCUUAUCUUGGAGAUCCUUUAACUAUUCUUUAAAAUCUUUUAGUUCUGCAAGUGCCAUUCUAUUUGGAAGGAUAGAAAUGGACUGAGUAUUUAGAUAAAGGUCAAUUCCAAAGUUAAUUUCCCUUUUGGGAGGAACUCCGAGAAAAUCUUCAGGAAACAAAUUAAGAAAUUCACAUACUACUGAUACUGGUUCAAGAUUAGGGAUCUCUGAACUAGAGUCUUGAACUCGAAAGAGAUAAUAGACACAUCCCUUAGAUAUCAUUUUUCUCGCCCUAAGGUAAGAAACAAGUUAACCCCUAAGUGCUGAAGUACUACCCCUCUACUCAAGGACAAGUUCAUUUGGAAACUAAAAGUGGACAAUUCAAUUUCUACAGUCAAUUGAAGCAUAGCAUGAAUGAAGCCAAUCUAUGUCGUAAAUGACAUCAAAAUCUGUCAUCUCUAAUUCCACUAAGUCUACUAAAGUGGCUUUCUGAGAUACCAUAAUCGAACAGUUCUCAUAUACCCGUCGGGCUAUGAUAGAUUCAUCCACUGGGGUAGAGACUGAGAAAGUCUCUGCUAGGAUUUCUGGACUGACUCUGAAGUUAGCAGCUAUAUAAAGAGAUAUAAAGGACAAGGAAGUCCCUGGAUCUAACAAAGAUUAAACAUUAAAUUAUAAACUUAUAACGUACUAGUGACCAUAUCAAGAGAACUUUUUUUGAUUUUAUCGGGACUAAAGAGCUUAAAGUCUAUUUGGGCGUUGCCCACUGGUGGCACUAGAAGCGGCACCCUGUUGAUUCGAGCAAUCAAACUGAGAUGAAGAAUGAUUAUACUGACCUUGAGAACUUGACUAAGGACAAUAUAUGACCCUAUUUCAUGGCUUUCCACAUCCAAAACAUACAUCACUACCAGCCCUACAAAAAUCUUGGUGGUUUCUAUCAUAUUUCUGGCAAAGAGGGCUUGUUCAGGCACUACUAACACUACCUUGAGGUUUGGGUCCUGGUGCCCUAUCUUUUUUACUAUCUCUAAAUUUUGGCACUGGAGAACUGGUUGACGAUAGAGCUGGAACUGAGGAUUUUGGGCGGAACUAAGAAUGAUUUCCACCUUCGGACUUAGGUUGGGAAAAUUUGAAGCUACCUAUUCUAGCUCUCUUGUUCUCCCUCUCUUUAUCCCUAUUCUUAGCCUCCUCUAUCUGUUGAGCAUGGACCAUGAACCUGGAUAUGUCUAUCUCCUUAAUCAGCAUUGCGGUCCUAUACUCGACCACACUGAUAGACACACCGAACACAAACUUACUCAUCUUGGAUCAGCUAUCGGCUACCACAUGAGGAGCAUAUCUGGCUAAUUGAGUAAACUUGUGAGAAUACUCUUUCACUGUCAUAUUGCCCUGCUUCAGAUUAAUAAACACCUACACCUUUACUUCACUGAACUCCGGUGGGAAAAACCUAUCUAGAAAAGCAGUCGCAAAUUCCUCCCAUUCUAUGGGCCCUGCAUCAAUUUCCCUCUCUGUCUUCUACUGCUUAAACAAUGAGUGAGCCAUAUCCUACAAUCGAUAUGUGUCUGACUAAGCACUCUUACUAGCUGUCAACCCCAUAAUAUCUGUGACUUUCUACACCAGAUUAAGAAAUUCUUGUAGCUCUUCCUCUGAAUUAAACCCGGUAAAAGCUUAAGGGUUCAUUUGGGUGAAGUAUCAAAUUUUGGCUGCAGCAGUAUUAGCCACUGGGUUGGCCAGAAUGGCAGUUGGGCAUUCAUUCUGGGCUAUCACUGAAUUUGCUAGGGUAGUAAAUGCAGCCCUGAAUUUUUCUUGGGAGACAUGCUCGUCCAGAGGAUUUGUCUAAACGGGCUGAAGGCUGGCUGAUUUUCUGUUCUCCUUUUGUUGUUCUUUUUGGGAGGCAUAUUCUUUAAAUGGAAGUAAAAAAAAGGAUUAUACUAAGAUUGUAACUUGAGCUCACGCUCACUCGCACGAUAUGAAUACUGAAAGAAGGGAAACUUUUCCUAAAAUUGCCUCAUAGCCUGUUGUUCAUAAGUGUGGUGUGCUACACAUCCAUGAACACGACUCUACUAGACGCGGCUUUCAGACUUCUUAGGACUCUGUUGAACCUUAGGCUUAGAUAACAAGUUUGUAAUUCCCCUGGUCUGUACCCCGAAUGCUACAUGGUGCUAGCGACCCCGAAGGACCACCAGCUAACCCAUGACUGCACUACUAAAAAAUGCCAAAAAGAGACGACCAACGAUGCUUUUUUGGCAAAAAUGAUGAAAAUCCAUCAAUUUUUUUUCGUCUUAAAAAGGGGCAUUGUUUUUUGAAAAUGACGGCCUGCAUCACUUAAUUAUGAUGGCUAGUGUCUCUUUUGGAAAAAAAAAUUUAGUAAUUUCUGAAAAAAGCAACAUUGUGCGUCGGUUUUUAUUCUUCAUGUGAAGAACACAUGAUGAACAAAAAGAGACGUUGUGCGUUGCUUUUUGUUUAAUACAUGAUCAACAAAAAGCGAUGUUGUUUGUCACUUUUGUUUAAUACAUGGUGAACAAAAAAUGGUGUUGUGCGUCAUUUUAUUGAAAAAAAUUUUUUUAGAAAAAUUGACAUUGUCCGUCGUAAUUUGAGAAAAAUAAAAUUUAUUUUAAAAAAAAAAAACUACGUUGGUCGUCGCGUUUUGUUCUUCAUAAUGAAUAAAAAGCGAAGAUCAUCGUCACUUUUUGUUUUUCAUAAUAAAAAAAGCGACAUUGGUUGUCGCUUUUUAUUCUUCAUAAUGAAUAAAAAAAACGACGCUCAUCGUCGCUUUUCUGUAUUUUUUUUAUUCCAGAAAUUUGCAUUUCUUUUACCCACCUGCUAAAUAAAAAUGCAAUUCAGUAUAUACAUCCCUUAUACAACACACAUUAUUACAGUAAUCAUACAACACACUACAUCAACAAAUUAUUUAAGAAAUUUAAAUCAACAACACUUAAACAUUGAAUCCAACAACAUUCAAAAUACUUAAACACUCAUAAAGAUUUUUCACUAAAUUAAAAGCUAAGUUCAAAAAUAUCUAAAAAUUAUCUAAAAGUCAAGUCAAACAACACAACACUAAGGAGUAUCCCCAACAAACUCCUUACCACUCUACGUUUCCUCUUCGCUACUUGAAUUAGGAGCAACGGCAUGUGUCAAGGCACAUCUAAGAUGUGAAAUCUAAUGUGACAUAGCAGCAUGUCUCUCAAAAAUUGUAGAAAUGGCCUGAUCGUGCUUUGCCAACCAACAACACAUUGUCUGAAAAUCAAUUAACUAGUGUUAUAUGAUUUUAUAUGACGGGUAUCUAUAUAUAUAUAUAUAUAUAUAUAAGUUAAUCAAAUAAUUGAAACAUGGCUUGUUUAAAGACUAUUGGAAUGUUCCACCACUCGUACCAAGGAUAUGUAAAAAGUCUCAUAACACUCUCCCUUAUAACCUCAUUAACUUCUUUUGACGCAAGAUACUAUCUGUAAAUAACAUAAUAAAUAUGUAAAAUUGAAUAUUUUAUUAAUGAAAAAACCAAACCUAUCAAUUUAAAAAUAAACUUAUGAAGAUCCAUCAGGCUUGAUAAACACUCUAUCAAGCAUGUCCGUAUCUCCAGGAAUUAGACCAAUCAAAUUUACAUCAAUAUCUUCUUCUACAAGAGGAGGUGCACCAAUUUCAAGUCAAGAAUUCACAUUUUCAAAUGAUUACACUUUACUAAUUUCAAAACACAAGUACAUCUUUCAAGUAACUACACUAAACCAUUUUCAAGUCAUUAAUUCACUUCUCAAGUAACUACACUUGAUUAAUUUGAAGUCACUAGUACACAUUUAAAAACACUACACACAACCAUUUUUAACUCUCUAAUUAACUUCUCAAGUGACUAAACUUAAUCAAUUUCAAGUCAUGAAUUAACAUUUCAAGUAUGAACACUAAACCAAUUUCAAGUCAUGAAUUUACAUUUUCAAGUGAUUACACUUUACAAAUUUUAAAACACAAGUUCACCUUUCAAGAACUACACUAAACCAUUUUCAACUCGAUGAUCCACUUUUCAAGUGACUAGUACACAUUUCAAAACGCUAUACUUAACCAUUUUCAACUCUCUAAUUCACUUCUCAAGUGACUAAACAUAACCAUUUUUAAGUCAUGAUUCACAUUUCAAGUAUCAACACUAAACCAAUUUCAAGUCAUGAAUUCACAUUUUCAAGUGAUUACACUUUAAAAAUUUUAAAAUACAAGUUCACCUUUCAAGAACUACACUAAACCAUUUUCAACUCGAUGAUCCACUUUUCAAGUGACUAGUACACAUUUCAAAACGCUAUACUUAACCAUUUUCAACUCUCUAAUUCACUUCUCAAGUGACUAAACAUAACCAUUUUUAAGUCAUGAUUCACAUUUCAAGUAUCAACACUAAACCAAUUUCAAGUCAUGAAUUCACAUUUUCAAGUGAUUACACUUUACAAAUUUCAAAACACAAAAGUUCACCUUUCAAGAACAACACUAAACUAUUUUCAAAUUGCUAAUCCACUUUUCAAGUGCCUAGUACACAUUUCAAAAAACUACACACAACCAUUUUCAACUCUCUAAUUCACUUCUCAAGUAACUAAACUUAACCAAUUUUAAGUCAUUAAUUCACUUUUCAAGUAUCAACACAAAACCAAUUUCAAGUAAUGAAUUCACAUUUACAAGUGAUUACACUUUUAAAAUUUUAAAACACAAGUUUACCUUUCAAGAACUACACUAAACCAUUUUCAAGUCGGUAAUCCACUUUUCAAGUGACUAGUACACAUUUCAAAAUACUACACUUAACUAUUUUCAAAUCUCUAAUUCACUUCUCAAGUGACUAAAUAUAACCAUUUUCAUGUCAUGAAUUCACAUUUCAAGUAUCAACACUAAAUCAAUUUCAAGUCAUGAAUUCACAUUUUCAAGUGAUUACAUUUUAUAAAUUUCAAAACACAAGUUCACCUUUUAAGAACUACAUUAAACCAUUUUCAAGUCGCUAAUACACUUUUCAAGUGACUACUACACAUUUCAAAACACUACAUCAAGUCGCUAAUACACUUUUCAAGCGACUAGUAAACAUUUAAAAAUGUUAACCAUUUCAACUCUCUAAUUCACUUCUCAAGUGACUAAACAUAACCAUUUUCAAGUCAUGAAUUAACAUUUCCAAGUGAUUACUCUUUACAAAUUUCAAAAUACAAGUUCACCUUUUAAGAACUACACUAAACCAUUUUCAAGUCGUUAAUCCAUUUUUCAAGUGACUAGUACACAUUUCAAAACACUACACAACCAUUUUCAACUCUCUAAUUCACUUCUCAAGUGACUAAACUUAACCAAUUUCAAGUCAUGAAUUCACAUUUUCAAGCGAUUACACUAUACAAAUUUCAAAACACAAGUUCACCUUUCAAGAACUACACUAAACCAUUUUCCAGUCGCUAAUCCACUUUUCAAGUGACUAGUACACGUUUCAAAACACUACACUUAACCAUUUUCAGCUCUCUAAUUCACUUCUUAAGUGACUAAACUUAAACAUUUUCAAAUCAUGAAUUCACAUUUCAAGUAUCAACACUAAACCAAUUUUAAGUCAUGAAUUCAUAUUUUCUAGUGAUUACACAUUACGAAUUGAUGUUUAACCAUUUUCGUUCUUCAAUAAUGCUUAUAAAUUAUUUGGGUCCUAUAAUUAUCUAAGAUACUCAUGAGAUCAUUUACUUAACUUCCACUACAUUUUAUCCAUUAUGUGGUCCUAAAAUUCUAUUAACUCUCUAAAUUUUUAAAAUAUUUUGUCAGAGUUUCCUUUGUAAAUAGGCCUAUAGCAAACCGGUCAGCUAAUCAGAAUACAUAUAAAUACACUUCAGAAAGAAUUACAACAAAUAUGUUACUCAACUAAUAAUACACGAGGCUCCAAUUGUCCUUAUAGUCAAAUAUUACAUACAAGCAACACUAUAACUUACCUAAUAUUUUUCCUCUGAAUGUUGCAUUCAUAUAGAAUAAAGGGACAUAUGCUAAAAUUACGGAACAAGCAAUUUCAAAAUGGCCAAAUUAUGUAUUCUAAAAAAACUACUUCAAUUAACACCCAAGACAAUAAGAAUAUCAAAAUUAAAAGUAGCACAUAGACAAACACAAAUGACAGAGAAUCAGACAAAAGAAAAUAAUCACUUUUUGUUAAUUUUAAAUUCAAACUCUGUCAAAGAAAAGGAAAAAAGAGGCCGAAUAUAAUUAAAAUCAAACAUAGAUAUUUAAUAAUUUUGUCAAACCUGGGAUGGG
RNAcentral lists this long non-coding RNA (12293 nucleotides) under Capsicum annuum. RNAcentral's name for it is "long non-coding RNA (CANN_LNC014150)". The record is from RNAcentral. Lineage: Eukaryota; Viridiplantae; Streptophyta; Magnoliopsida; Solanales; Solanaceae.